AUGGAGAAAGGUGAAACUCCAAAUCAACUCCUUGAGCGUCUCAUGACUCUCACCGCUGAUAUUGAUUCGUGUGAGUGUGACAAGACACAAGAUGGAUUCAACAUGACUAAGCGAUUCCUUGUGGACAAGUUGCUCCAUGCUCUUGCUCCAUAUCACCAUCAGAUGGUAUGGGACAUAAGACAACACCAUGCCUUCAAGGAAAUGACUACAGAUGACAUCAUAUCCACUUUCCAACUAUUUGAAGAGUCAAAGGCAAAUGCUACAAAACAUCUUGCCAUGCAUGGUACUCCAUCGUCGAAGAUCAAUCUUGCAUUGAAGGCCAAGCAUGUAUGUGAAGAUGAGCAAAGUGAAGAAGAAGAUGAUGAUGAUGAUGAAGAAGAUGGUGAUGAGGUUGAAUCCGAUGAGGGCCCUUCAUAUGAAGACAUGGCUCUCUUUGUCAAGAAGUUUAGCGCGAGAAAAUUCAAGGGAAGGUUUCAAAAGAAGAAAGUAAGAAAAUGCUACAACUGUGAAGAAACCAACCACUUCUCCAACGAGUGCCCUUAUGAGAAGAGAGAAGAUAAACCAAGGUUUACCAAGACCUUUCCCAAGAAGAAGUUGCCAAAUCCUUUGAACUCCAAGCUCAAGAAGGGAGAUGGGAAAGCAAUGGUUGCUCAAGAAGAAUCCGAUCCGGAUGAUGUUAGUGGUGUUGCCGGAGUUGCUCAAGAUUCUCAAAACACAUUGAGGCUAGUCAACAAGAGUGGUGAAGUUGUCACCUACAACUACAUGAAGGAUUACAAGGGCAACGCUCACAAGUGUCUCAUGGCGAAGGCCGUGGUAGAAGAUGGAGAGGACCAACACUCUCCUGACAAGGUCAAGGUAACCCCACGAUCAAACCCUCCUCUUUUCACUCCUCCUACUCCUAGUGAUGAGUAUCUUGAUGCGGAGGAUAGUUAUGAGGAUGAUGAUAUAAAUGAUCCUAUGCUUGCUAAACUAAAUAAGUUCAUGUGCUCCCUUAAAGGAAAGAAGCUCACUAUGUUUUGUAUGCUUAUGAAGAUGGUGAGUAAGCACACCAUUUCCAUUAAGGAACUCGAAACCCUCGCCACCGAGGAAAAGGAAAAAUAUGAAAUCCUUGAGCGGAAAGUCCAAUAUGAGGAAGCACGCAAUGAUGAACUAUGCUUAAAAAUUGGUGCAAACAUUGAUGUUCAUACUAGAGAUCUUGCCUCCUUGAAAAAGGCUAUUGACUCUUGCGAAGAGUUGAUGAAUGAUAAAAGUAAGCUUGUAAAGUCUAAUGCUUCUCUCUCUAAGGAUUGUGAGCUCCUAUCCGUGUCCCUCAAGACCAAGGAAGAAGAGCUCACCCUUCUUACAAAGAGUUUUGAGACACUCAAGCUUACUUAUCUUGAAACUCUAGCCAAGGCUUACUCUUCUCCUAUUAUCAAUGUUGAUGCUUGUACUACUAACUCUAGUAGUGAUCUAGCAUCUAUUCUUGAGGAGAAUCGCUUUCUCAAAGCUCAAAUCGAGAAAGGGCUCAUGACAUGUGCUCAAGGGCAAAAGAACCUUAACGAGGUGUUGAGCCAACACAAUGAGGUGUUUGCCAAAGAGGGACUCGGGUUUGACCCGAGCACAAGCAAGAAGAAGACAUCCUCUCAAAAGUGCACCACCCCUCUAAAAGAAACUUUUGUACGAGAAGGGCACAAGGAGAAAGGUAAGGUUGUUAGUGGGAAGGCCACAAGGGGCAUGCCCACUCUCAACAAGCCAAAAGAGUUCAUGCCUCCAUCCUAUGUACUUCGUAAGAGUAAGGAUGGAGAAGUUUAUGCAAAGUUUGUUGGUCUUCGAAAUGCAUUUCGGUUUUAUGCUAUUUGGGUCCCUAAGACCCUUGUGACUAACGUGAGAGGUCCCAUUGCAAAAUGGGUGCCUCUAACCAAGUAA
RNAcentral lists this ribosomal RNA (1905 nucleotides) under Triticum aestivum (bread wheat). RNAcentral's name for it is "partial small subunit ribosomal RNA". The record is from RNAcentral. Lineage: Eukaryota; Viridiplantae; Streptophyta; Magnoliopsida; Poales; Poaceae.